Molecule: transfer RNA, 76 nt
Filed under: Clostridia bacterium
Lineage: Bacteria; Bacillati; Bacillota; Clostridia
Description: tRNA-Thr
Rfam family: tRNA
About the family: Transfer RNA (tRNA) molecules are approximately 80 nucleotides in length. Their secondary structure includes four short double-helical elements and three loops (D, anti-codon, and T loops).
Source: RNAcentral
GCUGGUGUGGCUCAGUUGGUAGAGCAGCUGAUUCGUAAUCAGCAGGUCGCAGGUUCGAAUCCCGUCACCAGCUCCA